GAUGGAGAGACUUGAAAGGCAGAAGGAGCAACUUGAAAGGGAAAUUGAAAUGUUAAGAAGAAGAUUGAGGACGCAGAAGAGACCAGAGUCUCCUGAACCUGAACCUGAACCUGAACCUGAACCUGAACCUGAACCUGAACCUGAACCCAGCUGUGUGUCCUUCAAGAGUGACUGGUCAAAUGAUCGCUUUAUUAACUUUAAAGGUCAACAACCCUCUGCUGGAAAAGAGGUA
This is a long non-coding RNA of Perca flavescens (yellow perch), 232 nucleotides long. RefSeq lists it as uncharacterized. The record is from RefSeq and is a predicted model, not a curated record. The transcript has 2 exons. Lineage: Eukaryota; Metazoa; Chordata; Actinopteri; Perciformes; Percidae.